Molecule: ribosomal RNA, 253 nt
Filed under: uncultured bacterium
Lineage: Bacteria
Description: partial 16S ribosomal RNA
Rfam family: Bacterial small subunit ribosomal RNA
Source: RNAcentral
UACGUAGGGUGCAAGCGUUGUCCGGAAUUAUUGGGCGUAAAGAGCUCGUAGGCGGUUUGUUGCGUCGGCUGUGAAAUCCCGAGGCUCAACCUCGGGUCUGCAGUCGAUACGAGCAAACUAGAGUGUUGCAGGGGAGACUGGAAUUCCUGGUGUAGCGGUGAAAUGCGCAGAUAUCAGGAGGAACCCCGGUGGCGAAGGCGGGUCUCUGGGCAACAACUGACGCUGAGGAGCGAAAGCGUGGGGAGCGAACAGG